GACGAACGCUGGCGGCGUGCUUAACACAUGCAAGUCGAACGGAAAGGCCCUGCUUUUGUGGGGUGCUCGAGUGGCGAACGGGUGAGUAACACGUGAGUAACCUGCCCUUGACUUUGGGAUAACUUCAGGAAACUGGGGCUAAUACCGGAUAGGAGCUCCUGCUGCAUGGUGGGGGUUGGAAAGUUUCGGCGGUUGGGGAUGGACUCGCGGCUUAUCAGCUUGUUGGUGGGGUAGUGGCUUACCAAGGCUUUGACGGGUAGCCGGCCUGAGAGGGUGACCGGCCACAUUGGGACUGAGAUACGGCCCAGACUCCUACGGGAGGCAGCAGUGGGGAAUAUUGCACAAUGGGCGGAAGCCUGAUGCAGCAACGCCGCGUGCGGGAUGACGGCCUUCGGGUUGUAAACCGCUUUCGCCUGUGACGAAGCGUGAGUGACGGUAAUGGGUAAAGAAGCACCGGCUAACUACGUGCCAGCAGCCGCGGUGAUACGUAGGGUGCGAGCGUUGUCCGGAUUUAUUGGGCGUAAAGGGCUCGUAGGUGGUUGAUCGCGUCGGAAGUGUAAUCUUGGGGCUUAACCCUGAGCGUGCUUUCGAUACGGGUUGACUUGAGGAAGGUAGGGGAGAAUGGAAUUCCUGGUGGAGCGGUGGAAUGCGCAUAUAUCAGGAGGAACACCAGUGGCGAAGGCGGUUCUCUGGGGCUUUCCUGACGCUGAGGAGCGAAAGCGUGGGGAGCGAACAGGCUUAGAUACCCUGGUAGUCCACGCUGUAAACGGUGGGUACUAGGUGUGGGGUCCAUUCCACGGGUUCCGUGCCGUAGCUAACGCUUUAAGUACCCCGCCUGGGGAGUACGGCCGCAAGGCUAAAACUCAAAGGAAUUGACGGGGCCCCGCACAAGCGGCGGAGCAUGCGGAUUAAUUCGAUGCAACGCGUAGAACCUUACCUGGGUUUGACAUGGAUCGGGAGCGCUCAGAGAUGGGUGUGCCUCUUUUGGGGUCGGUUCACAGGUGGUGCAUGGCUGUCGUCAGCUCGUGUCGUGAGAUGUUGGGUUAAGUCCCGCAACGAGCGCAACCCUUGUUCACUGUUGCCAGCACGUUAUGGUGGGGACUCAGUGGAGACCGCCGGGGUCAGCUCGGAGGAAGGUGGGGAUGACGUCAAGUCAUCAUGCCCCUUAUGUCCAGGGCUUCACGCAUGCUACAAUGGCUGGUACAGAGAGUGGCGAGCCUGUGAGGGUGAGCGAAUCUCGGAAAGCCGGUCUCAGUUCGGAUUGGGGUCUGCAACUCGACCUCAUGAAGUCGGAGUCGCUAGUAAUCGCAGAUCAGCAACGCUGCGGUGAAUACGUUCCCGGG
Molecule: ribosomal RNA, 1343 nt
Filed under: uncultured bacterium
Lineage: Bacteria
Description: 16S ribosomal RNA
Rfam family: Bacterial small subunit ribosomal RNA
Source: RNAcentral